GGGGAAUAUUGCACAAUGGGCGAAAGCCUGAUGCAGCGACGCCGCGUGAGGGAUGACGGCCUUCGGGUUGUAAACCUCUUUCAGCAGGGAAGAAGCGAAAGUGACGGUACCUGCAGAAGAAGCCCCGGCCAACUCUGUGCCAGCAGCCGCGGUAAGACAGAGGGGGCAAGCGUUGCUCGGAAUCACUGGGCGUAAAGGGCGCGUAGGCGGGAUGGCAAGUCGGUCGUGAAAUCCUUCGGCUCAACCGAAGAACGUCGGCCGAUACUGCCGUUCUUGAGGGAUGCAGAGGAGAUUGGAAUUCCCGGUGUAGCGGUGAAAUGUGUAGAGAUCGGGAGGAACACCGGUGGCGAAGGCGGGUCUCUGGGCAUCUCCUGACGCUGAGGCGCGAAAGCGUGGGGAGCAAA
This 404-nucleotide ribosomal RNA is filed under the name uncultured bacterium. RNAcentral describes it as "bacterial SSU rRNA". It matches the Rfam family "Bacterial small subunit ribosomal RNA", at positions 356 to 772 of the family's 1533-position model. The record is from RNAcentral.